UACGUAGGGUGCAAGCGUUAAUCGGAAUUACUGGGCGUAAAGCGUGCGCAGGCGGUUUUGUAAGUCUGUCGUGAAAUCCCCGGGCUCAACCUGGGAAUUGCGAUGGAGACUGCAAGGCUAGAAUCUGGCAGAGGGGGGUAGAAUUCCACGUGUAGCAGUGAAAUGCGUAGAGAUGUGGAGGAAUACCGAUGGCGAAGGCAGCCCCCUGGGAUAACACUGACGCUCAUGCACGAAAGCGUGGGGAGCAACAGG
RNAcentral lists this ribosomal RNA (252 nucleotides) under uncultured bacterium. RNAcentral's name for it is "partial 16S ribosomal RNA". It matches the Rfam family "Bacterial small subunit ribosomal RNA", at positions 524 to 775 of the family's 1533-position model. The record is from RNAcentral.